GCCAUUGUGCUCAUUCGCACACGCUUGUGAGGAUCGCUCCCUACAAGCAGGCACUCCGGAGUUGGCCUACGCGACAGUUGCUCGCCCGUGCGGGAUUGGGUGCCGAAGUGGAUUGCCGUGGGGAGUGUAUACUACCACGGGGCCAUUAGGCGCGGCGCAAGCUGGACUACCUUGGGUAGGUCACUGUGAAUGGAAGGAAAGUGCUAAAAAAUAUUGGACAGCAAUGAAUAAUCACCAGUCAUAGUGUACAGUUUCUACUUACACAUUCAUAUUUAUGUUCAUACUUACAGUAGCUGCUAUAUUUUUAUUGUUCAAUUCAUUACUGUAGAAAGCUAUUACAUGCUUAUUAAUUAUUUAGCAUUGGAAAGGUAUCAUGCAAAUUACAUGCUCUUUACUUGUUAGCAUCAUACAUAUAUCAUACAAUUAUUGCUUUUACUCACCUUUAGUACAUCAUAAGCCUAGUGGUGUAAUUCGCCGAGGCUGGCGGCUUACCCACUGAGAACUAUUGUUAAUAGUUCUCACGCUCUUUUUGGUGGUUGUUUUUAAAGAGCUAUCUGCAGGAGGGGCUACGGAUCGUGGCAAGGGAGUCGCGUCUAACUAGACAUUGCUAGGAGCAUGCUAGUCUAUCACCUUGCUACUCGGACUACGGCCAAGGAUGAUGUCCCUAUGUAUAGAGAGACUACCGUGGGAUCUACUUUUAUACUCUAUGAUGUAUAUUUACCAUUUGGACCAGAUACUUUCGUUGCGACACUUCUCCUUUUUGCUGAGAUUUUGGAUUGUAUACUCUUUGUUCUUUUACUGAUAGUAUAUCGACUUGUACAUUGCUCUGAUAUCAGGAUAAGACUUUCUUUGUUUUACUUCCUAUCUACUUGCUUUCUUCGUAGACGCCUUAUAUACUGCAGGUGUAUGGCGGGUCUGUGCACGUCCCGGAUAUGCUUCCGCUGGUACCCGGGCGUGACAGAUUAUAGUGGUAUCAGAGCCUAGGGUUGAGUCUUAGUAAACCUAGCAAAUCUUAGGCUGGUUGGACUAUAAGAAUAGGCUCAUGAGAGACGGGGUUUAGUCGAGGUUAUUGUUAGCGAAAGUACUUUGAUUAGGUACUUAUAAACUCCGACUAGUAGGAGUUUGAUCGGGAUGUGCAAUUACUAACUUUGCAGAGGGUCACGUUGGCAGCCGACAACGUGACAUCGAAAAUUAGUAUGCGUUACAUCUCAUUACUUUCGCUAAUUAGCUGAUUUAUAUCUGAAGUAAAGGUUCAAUAGUAUAAAUUUUAUUAAUCUAUAUUCGUUUUGUGCUGCAGCUCAAGAUGCCUUUGACUCGUUCGAGAGCCGCCGGGGCGGCUGAGGUGUCGGAUGCGGAGGAAGUAGGGACCUCCGUUACUUCUGGAGCUAGUGAGAUCCAUGAGUUACAGGAUCAGCUUGCGAUGUUGACGGAUUUGGUUACUCAGCAGGCUGCGGCAGCACGACAGCAGAUAGACGCUGCGCGUCAACAGGAGGACAGGAUGAAAAGGUUAGAGGAUCUGUUACUCCGGCAGACAACCGAUAGAGAGAUUCCAGAUUCUGUACCUACAGCACCAGAGAGGGGCACGACUGCGAGAGCACCGUCACCGGUACCCGAUACACCCCUAGUAGCCCCGAGGGUAGAGCCCCGACUGCAGACAGUAGCACCAGCACCUGUACCUGUAGCGGCAUCAGGGACAGUAUUACCUGAGAUGGUGGGGGUUGAAGAGCGAGAGCGGAUGAUGGAGCGACUGAAUUAAUUCCGUCGCUGCAACCCUCGUAUCUUUGACGGGGAAAAAGCAGAUCACUGGGUGGUCGAGAAAUGGUUAAUGCACAUGGAGAAGCUAUUCUAUGAUACAUUCGUCGAGGAGCGAUAUCGAGUUUGGUUUGCGACGCACCACCUUGACGGCGAGGCUUACAGGUGGUGGGUGGACAUUCGUGAGGAUCCCCGUACUGAUUUGUCCGCUAUUACGUGGAACAGGUUCAAGGAAUUGUUGUUGACGACCUAUUUUUCUCAGAGUGUGAAGAGGCAGAUGGAAAGGAAUUUGAGAAACUUGAGGCAGGGGAACAGGACAGUGGCAGAGUAUGAGCGAGAGUUCUCCCGAUUACUGCACUGCGUUCCUUUUGUGGUUCAAGAUGAUGAGGACAAGGCUCGCAUAUUUGAGGUGGGUUUGCGACCUGCGAUUUUCAGAUUGGUCCAGGCAUCAAACCUCUCUACUUACAGGGAUGUAGUGAACCGGGCCUUGAUUGUUGAGAAGGGGGCAGAAAUCAUGAAGGAAAGGGAUAUUGUGGAUCGAGGAAAAGAAAAAAGACCAGCAGUUGAGAGCAGUGGUCAGCAAUCCUUCAGAAAGCCACCAAAGUAUCCGAGGGGGCAGUCAGGUCAGUUGAGGGGUUGAGAUUCUGCAGCACCCCGUGGAGCACCCGAGCGUCAUCGACCGCCGCGUUGUGUUAUCUGUGGUGGGCCUCACGUGCCGCCACAGUGUCCACAGCGUGGGGGCAGGUGCUUUCUCUGCGGCCAGGAGAGCCACUUUCGUUCAGAGUGCCCGAGAGGUUCUUUGCCUGCACCCUCGUCAGCUUCUGCACCUGCAUCUUCAGCUCCGAACCAGGGGACCCCGACAGCACCCUAUCAGUCUAGGCGACCACCAGGACAGCGGCAGUCGGAGAGUUCGCAGCAGGGUUCGAGUGGGCGGAUGUAUGCCGCCCAGACUGAGGGCGCCGCAGCAGCACAGGAGGUCGUAGCAGGUAUUAUUUUGAUUCAUGAUGUUCGUGUUCGUGCAUUAUUUGAUACUGGUGCAUCACAUUUCUUUAUUAAUCGGCUGUUUACCGAGUUGCAUAGCAUACAGUUAGUACCUACCCUGCAUCCGGGACGAGUGAUCGUGCCCGACCAUACAAUGGAUAUUUGUGAGUAUUGCCCUCGCUGCCCAGUUAGGGUAGGCGACUGGAUUAUACCAGUAGAUUUACUAGCACUACACAAACUAUGUGAGUUUGAUGUAGUAUUGGGUAUGGAUUGGUUGACUCAGUAUUAUGCCACUAUUGAUUGCACGAACAGAACAGUAAUCUUUAGAGAACCGGGUCAGCAAGAGUUUGUUUAUAAGGAGUGUCAGAAUUCAUUGUUCGCAAUGACCAUUAGCUCGUCGCGAGCACGACAGUUGAUCCGGAGGGGUUGUGUAGCCUAUUUGGCUAGCAUUUCUGUGAGUAACGGAGAAGCCGUCAAGAUUGAUGAUAUCCCUGUUGUGCGAGAAUUCGGGGAUGUGUUUCCAGCUGAGUUGCCGGGCAUGCCACCUGAUAGGGAAGUUGAGUUUGUGAUUGAUCUUGUUCCUGGGAGUACCCCUAUUUCUAAAGCGCCCUAUAGGAUGGCACCCGCUGAAUUAAAAGAGCUGAAGGCACAGUUACAAGAUCUGUUAAAUAAAGGAUUUAUUCGGCCGAGUGUAUCGCCCUGGGGAGCACCGGUAUUAUUUGUCAAGAAAAAGGAUGGAUCUCUUCGAUUGUGCGUGGAUUAUCGAGAAAUCAACAAAGUCACAAUCAAGAAUAAAUAUCCAUUGCCCAGAAUUGAUGAUUUAUUCGAUCAGCUGCAAGGCUCGAAAGUGUAUUCAAAGAUUAACUUACAAUCUGGAUAUCAUCAGCUUAAGAUCAAGCCUGAAGAAGUCUCUAAAACCGCCUUUAGGACACGGUAUGGGCAUUAUGAAUUUACAGUAAUGCCAUUUGGAUUAACAAAUGCCCCAGCAGUCUUUAUGGAUUUAAUGAACCGUGUCUUUAAACCCUAUCUGGACAGGUUUGUGGUCGUGUUCAUCGAUGAUAUCUUGAUCUAUUCUCGAAGCGAUGAGGAGCAUGAAAGCCAUCUAAGAGUGGUGUUGCAAGUACUUCAAGCAGAGAAACUGUUUGCAAAAUUAAAAAAAUGCGAAUUUUGGCUUCGAGAAGUAGCGUUUCUGGGACACGUUAUUUUAGAGGCUGGGAUUGCUGUAGAUCCAAAGAAGAUUGAAGCGAUUAAAGAUUGGCCCAGGCCAACCAGCGUGACAGAGAUUCGAAGUUUCCUUGGUUUGGCGGGAUACUACCGAAGAUUUAUUGAAGGAUUUGCGAAGAUGUCUACUCCUCUUACUCGACUCACACAUAAAGGAGCUAAAUUUCUGUGGAAUGAAGCCUGUGAAAGAAGCUUUCAGGAACUGAAAGAAUGGUUAACUACUGCCCCGAUCUUAGCACUGCAUGUUACUGGAAUGGAUUAUGUGAUUUACAGCGAUGCGUCGCUGAAUAGAUUAGGGUGCGUUCUAAUGCAGAAUGGCAAAGUAAUUGCUUAUGCCUCUCGCCAAUUGAAAGAUUAUGAAAAGAACUACCCUACACAUGAUCUUGAGUUAGCAGCUGUGGUAUUUGCUUUAAAGCUUUGACGCCACUACCUCGACGGCGAGCGUUGCGAAGUUUACACAGAUCAUAAAAGCUUAAAGUAUCUGUUUACUCGGAAGGAAUUAAACUUGAGACAACGUAGAUGGUUGGAGUUGCUCAAGGAUUAUGAUUUGACCAUCCUCUAUCAUCCUGGAAAAGCUAAUGUCGUAGCAGAUGCUUUAAGUCGAAAAUCGACGAAAAAUUUGGCGAUGUCGAUAACUAUGCAACCACUGUUGGUAAAGGAAAUGAAGCAGUUGAAUUUGGAAGUUGUAGCUCCUGACACGCCUUGGAGAUUUAUGUCAUUAGUGAUGCAACCUACCCUGAUCGAUCGAAUUAAAGAAAAGCAAGCUCAAGAUGAAUCCCCGCAAAAGAUUCGAGCAAAGAUCACUGUUGAUCCAAUUGGCGAUUUUCGAGUGAAUGAUCAGGGAUUGCUAAAAUUCGGUGAUAGAAUCUGUGUGCCUGCCGAUCCAGAUAUUAAAGAGGAGAUUUUAAAGGAAGCACAUCGGGCACCGUAUACUUUACACCCUGAGAGUACAAAAAUGUAUAAAGAUUUGAAGUUAACUUACUGGUGGCCUGGAAUGAAAAAGGAAGUUGCAGACUUCGUGGCUAAGUGCUUAACUUGUCAGCAGGUUAAAGCUGAACAUCGACUUCCUGCGGAAAAACUCCAGAGCUUACCCAUACCAGUGUGGAAGUGGGAGAGGAUCACUAUGUAUUUCAUUGUUGGAUUACCUCGCUCAUAAGCAGGUAACGAUGCCAUUUGGGUAAUUGUGGAUAGAUUGACCAAAUCUGCCCACUUUAUCCAAAUCCAUACAGUUUGGCCGGGGGAGAGACUCGCACAAGUGUAUCUUGAUGAAAUUGUGCGAUUACACGGAGUACCUGCUUCUAUUGUUUCAGAUCGAGACACCCGAUUCGUUUCACAUUUCUGGAAGAGUUUACAGGAGGCCAUGGGAACUCGAUUGGAUUUUAGUACUGCUUUCCACCCCCAGAGUGAUGGGCAGUCCGAGCGUACCAUCCAGACCCUUGAGGAUAUGUUGCGAGCUUGUGUAACGGAUUACCAAGGCAGUUGGCCACAGUUCUAGCCUAUGGCUGAAUUUGCUUAUAACAACAGUUAUCAAGUAAGUAUCCAGAUGGCACCGUUUGAAGCCCUUUAUGGUAGAAAGUGCAGAUCACCACUUCAUUGGAGUGAAGUGAGUAAGAGAUUGAUUUUGGGUCCAAAUGUAUUACAAGAGGCCGAAGCUAAAGUUCGACUUGCACGAGAACGCCUACUGACAGCGCAAAGUCGACAAAAGAGUUAUGCGGAUAAGCGUCGGCGAGAAUUGGAAUUUCAAAUUGGCGAUCAUGUAUUCCUAAAGGUUUCACCGACGAAAGGAGUUAAAAGAUUUGGCAUUCGAGGAAAGCUGAGUCCUCGAUAUAUCGGACCCUACAAGGUGUUGGAGCGGAUCGGCCCCAUAGCAUAUCAGCUUGCUUUGCCGCCGAGCAUGUCGGGAGUGCAUAAUGUAUUUCAUGUAUCUACGCUUCGAAAAUAUGUUUUUGAUCCAACUCACAUAUUGGAGAGUACUCCAGUGGAUUUACAAGAAGAUUUGAGCUUUGAGGAGCAUCCAGUGAGGAUACUAGCUCGAGAAGUAAAACGGCUACGAAAUCGCGAUAUACCCUACGUGAAGAUACUUUGGAGCAAUCGCGAUGAACGGGAAGCCAGUUGGGAAUUGGAGCGUGCAAUACAAAAGCACUACCCUUAUCUUUUCUCGACAGAAUCUUAAAGUAAGUAUUUACAAGUUUCGCGGACGAAACUUCUUCUUAGGAGGGGUGAACGUAAUACACUGAACUUUUGUAAAUUGCGGAGUUCGAAUGUGGGGAUUGGAAUGUGGAUCAAUAAUACGUAUUCUAAAUGACUUGGACAAAUUUUUGAACAAAUUAGAGAGUGAUUGGAGGGGUAAAAGCAAGAAAUGCACUGAACUGGCGAAAUUCAGCCUUUUCUGCAGGCUGUACCGGUACAGCCAUCAGCUUGUACCGGUACAGCACUGGCAGAUACGUGGCAGCAAGGGUAUUUCUGUAAUUUCACACUUAAUACCUAUCCACUUGACCCCAGCUCGACCAGGAAUGCUCAGUGGAGGAUGCUAGAGCUCUGGAGCUUGUUCUUCCACCUUCUCCACUCUCUCUCUCUAGGAUCUUCCUCUCUCUACAAGGAUUCGACGAUUUCGCUCGUUUUCGUCGCAUCACGCAUUCUUCGUUGGUGGCGAGCGUUGCAGAGCCUACGUGGACGUGUGGGGGAGUGUUUUGGAAGAAUUUUCGCAGCCCUGGACCAGUGAGGUGCUGGUUGGAAGCUUGAGAAGGUAAACGACUCUAUUUUUUCGUUAUCGGCACUCUAUUAGUCGAUUUGAGUAUUGAUUUCAGGUUUUUGCUUCCAACUGCGUUAAACUAAGAUUUCAGCAAUUAAAGAUGAAUUAAUUAGCUGUGAAUUAAUCUCCUUAGACCCGGGAUAAGCUUCUUUGAAGGUUAAUAGCGAUACUUAGUUCAUUAUGAAGCUAGUUGGUGCUAUAUGACGGUUAAGUGAAUAACUAAUGCAGGUUAGAAAUUGUUCUCUUCGCAGCAGGUUGUUGAACCAAAUUAAGCUUAAUUGGUGACUUUGGAGACUGAUUUAGAAGGUGUUCUAACCAAGGGUAAGCAGGAAUUUCAGCUAGAAAUGUAAUGUCGCAAGAAUUCGAUUAUAAUAGCUUAUACUCGACUAUAUUGAUGCCGUUUCGAUGUUGUUCGCAGCGAGAGUGCGAUCGAGCCUUGGAUCAUUUUAGUUGACUUGGGAGAGCUCUUGGAGACUCUUCUUGAGGUAUUACAUUGGCCAAAACAGGGAAUUAAGCUUCCAUCUUGUAUUAAUUGAGAAUUUUGCCGAACUUAGAAUCGAAGUGAUCGCUUCGGUGCGACUUUCGUGUUUCGUUUUCAGCAAGAUUGGGGCCUAGUGGAGCUGAGUUUUGGGACUUCUUACAAUUGGAUUGCGCUUAGUAAUAGGUGGGUUUGACCUAACCAGAGCAAGUGGAGCUCCCCUAUGUUCUAUAUGUACUAUAGAAUUGAUACAGUUGUAUGCUUUUGUGUGAUUGAUAUAGAACUUAAGACGAGUCACUAUAUUAUAGUGUUGAUAUAUAAUUGCAUUGAAAUCUCUAUAAAGUAGAGAACACUCAUGCAUAUAAGUCUUCAUAUACAUGUUUAAUUUAGUUGAGUGAUUAAUGGACAAGUUAUCAUGUUUCGAGAAAACCAUGACAUCCUUAUGACACUUUCUUGACUCUAAAGUAGAGAAUGAUGACGUGCUUAUGGUUAUGUUUAUAGUGCCAUGAUAGUGAACAGCUCCUAAUGCCAUAUGUAAUCUUGCAUGUUUAUUAAUCUAGUGGAUACUAGCUGUUAGCAAUACUUGUUAUAGUGAGAUUCCGAUCAAAGGAUCGACAGUAAGAACAAUGCAAGUUGGAAAGUGAUGAUCGAGACAUAUUGAGCUUUAGAUUUGCUUGCUGCCAUGUGCUCAUUCGCACAUGCUUGUGAGGGUCGCUCCCUACAAGCCGACACUCCGGAGUUGGCCUACGCGACAGUUGCUCGCCCGUGCGGGAUUGUGUGCCGAAGUGGAUUGCCGUGGGGAGUGUAUACUACCACGGGGCCAUUAGGCGCGGCGCAAGCGGGACUACCUUGGGUAGGUCCCUGUGAAUGAAAGGAAAGUGCUAAAGGACAUUGGACAGUAAUGAAUGAUCACCAGUCAUAGUGUACAGUUUCUACUUACACAUUCAUAUUUAUGUUCAUACUUACAGUAGCUGCUAU
RNAcentral lists this long non-coding RNA (8162 nucleotides) under Ananas comosus (pineapple). RNAcentral describes it as "long non-coding RNA (ACOM_LNC035432)". Lineage: Eukaryota; Viridiplantae; Streptophyta; Magnoliopsida; Poales; Bromeliaceae. The record is from RNAcentral.